GCCCAAAAUCUAAGCCAACAAACAACACCAACCCCCCCCCCAUCGUAAACCAAAACAUUUGCCCAGACUAGUAGAUGAGAUCGAACACCACCAAUUAGCCUUUUAAGUACCGCAAGGGAAAAAUGAAAGAACAAUGAAAAACUUUAAGCACAAAAUAGCAAAGAUCAACCCCUGUACCUCCUGCAUCAUGGUUUAGCAAAAAUCUUUCAGACAAAGAGAACCUUAAGCCUGCCCCCCCGAAACCAAACGAGCUAUUUUUAGACAGUAAUAAUAUAGAACGCACCCAUCCCUGUAGCAAAAGAGUGGGAAGAUCUAAAAAUAGGGGCGAAAAGCCAACCGAGCUUGGUGAUAGCUGGUUACUCAACAAAGAAUUUAAGUUCAACUUUAGAUAUUAACCGAGCCUACCUUAAUCUCCACCUUAAAAAUCUAAAGAAAAUCAAUGGGGGUACAGCCCCAUUGAACCGGAAUACAGCCCGAACUGAGAGGAUUUUUUUUCCAAAAAACAGUAGGCUUCAAAGCAGCCACCAAAAAUCGCGUUAUAGCAUUAUAUACCUAACAAUUCCAACAACUCUAUAAACCUCCUGAACACCCCGAGUUAUUCUAUAUACUUAUAGAAACACUAAUGCUAAAAUCAGUAAUAAGAAACACUUAUUUCUCUCCGCACCCCUUUAAAUCAGAAUAGAAAAUCUACUGAUAAUUAACAAAACAUGGCCCGCAUUAACUAGCUUUUAUGCCAUCCUACUUUGUUACCCCGACACAGGCGUGCAAAAAAGAAAGGUAAAAAACCGCAAAAGGAACUCGGCAACCAUUAAUCCCAACUGUUUACCAAAAACAUAGCCUUCAGCCUUACAAGUAUUGAAGGUACCGCCUGCCCAGUGACUCUUUUAACGGCCGCGGUAUCCUAACCGUGCAAAGGUAGCAUAAUCACUUGUCCCUUAAAUAGGGACUAGAAUGAACGGCUAAAUGAGGAUUAGACUGUCUCUUGCAGGUUAACCAAUGAAAUUGAUUUUCUAGUCCAAAAGCUGGAAUAAACUCAUAAGACAAAAAGACCCUGUGGAGCUUAAAAACCAGACACACCUAACAUGUUUUCUUGGUUUUUUAGUUGGGGCGACUUCGGAGUAAAAAAAACCCUCCAAAACAUGACCACUUCCUUAUUAAGAUGAACACAUCAAAACAACUACAUAAGACCCAGCAAUAAGAUAUUGUCUGAUCAACGAACCAAGUUACCCCAGGGAUAACAGCGCUAUCCCCUUUUAGAGUCCCUAUCGACAAGGGGGUUUACGACCUCGAUGUUGGAUCAGGACAUCCUAAUGGUGCAGCUGCCAUUAAGGGUUCGUUUGUUCAACGAUUAAAGUCCUACGUGAUCUGAGUUCAGACCGGAGAAAUCCAGGUCGGUUUUUAUCUAUGCGGCACUAUCCUCAGUACGAAAGGACCAAGAUAGCAGGACCAAUUCUACAGAAUGUCCUAAUAAUAACCUCUGACCCCCCCCCUGAAUAAAACAACUAUACCACCCCCACAGCCCAAAAAUAGGGCUU
This 1535-nucleotide ribosomal RNA is filed under the name Algyroides nigropunctatus. Its description in RNAcentral is "16S ribosomal RNA". It matches the Rfam family "Bacterial large subunit ribosomal RNA", at positions 371 to 2925 of the family's 2925-position model. The record is from RNAcentral. Lineage: Eukaryota; Metazoa; Chordata; Lepidosauria; Squamata; Lacertidae.